UGUGGUGUAGCUCAGUGGUAGAGCACUUGCCUAACAUGCACAAGGCCCUUGGCUCAAUCCCCAACAUCGUAA
RNAcentral lists this transfer RNA (72 nucleotides) under Fukomys damarensis (Damara mole-rat). It matches the Rfam family "tRNA". From Rfam's summary of the family: Transfer RNA (tRNA) molecules are approximately 80 nucleotides in length. Their secondary structure includes four short double-helical elements and three loops (D, anti-codon, and T loops). The record is from Rfam by way of RNAcentral. Lineage: Eukaryota; Metazoa; Chordata; Mammalia; Rodentia; Bathyergidae.